CUCCGGAGCCACGUGGACCGCAGCCGGCUAGCGGAGGCCAGGCUGGGGAGACGCCGGAGGCGGCGCGGGGACCGGAUCGCCGCCCGGAGAGGGCUCUGCGGGGACAGCUUCGCGACGCUCCGCGCCGAGGCCUCCGCCCACAGGCUGGCGAGACCAGGGAAGAACCUCCGGGGAACCCGUGCGGUCAGCCCCCGGGAGGAAGUGGAAGUGGAGGUGCCCCGAAGAGCCCGAGAUGGGCUCGCACCGUAGCAAGAAGGGGCCGAUCCCCUGCUGGCGACCGGGCAAAGCCACCGACUUCCUCUAAGGGCGCGGGACUAGAGCAGUCUCUGAGUCCAGCAAUGUUGGGAAAGAAGGUCCAAAAAGGACCACAGUCAAGUCCAGAAAAUCCUCAAAGAAGAGACGACAGGAAGGACUCAGCCAGCGCUGGAUCCUGAAAUCGCCUAGAGAAUGGAAGCCAUUCCAGAGGGUGCACCAUGUUUUGAGCCCAGCAUUGAUACCCUUAUUGUGAACUGACAACACAGCCUGCUCACAGGCCAUUGCAGACGAAACCAGAGAGAUGAAGAAAAUGAAGCCCAGAAUGCUGAACUAACUUCUCUAAGGACACACAGCUAGCAGAAGACAGAAAUUGGAUUUGACUGAGAUUUGUCUGACUCCUGGUCCCCAGUCAUACCAGGAUGGACAUUUGGAUGUUCCCUUCAACUUUGGGGGCCACCUGAAUUCCCCCACCUGCCCUUAUGAUCUUAGCUCUGGACCUCCCUUUUCUGCACAACACUCUCUAUGAAGGCGAGUGAGUAACUGGAAUGUGGUUUUCUAUUUGUUCUUAUUCUGAUUCAAAGACCAGUCGACUGAGGCUCAGAGAGAUGAGGUGACUUCCCUGGGUUCUGGAAGCUAACAGGUGGUCAAGCAGACCCCUGGCCUGAUAAAGUGCCUGCCACCCCACCUCACUACCUCUGUGGUCUCCAAGACAGUGCUGAGAAAAGGAGAAGACACAUUUCUGUUUUGUUUUCUUGGCAUGAAAUCACGUUUGCUUUGUGCCAUAAGGUGAAAACUGUUUCUAAAUGGUGUGUCGGUGAGCAUGUGCACACGCGUAUGCACACAAAUCCUCAUGCAGGCUCACAGGAAGGGGUUUCACAAUGCCCCUGUCUUGAGGGUGAAUAGUCUAAGUAUUGAAGAAUAAAAGUUUUCAUUGCUCAGAGUGCUGCCUGGGAUUCCUGGAAUAUGAGGAAAUGUGUUUACAGUUUAGUCCUAGGUCAUGGAUAUGACCCAGAAAUAAGGGCAAGCAGGGCAAGCAGAGGCACCUGGCUUGUGAUGGGUCACAUCUAUCCAUCAAACAUUUACUGAGCACCUAAUCUUCACCAGGCAUUGAGCAGGGUGCAGGGAUAUGAAGGCGAGCAAGACGUAGUCUUGGUCUUCACGGAGAUUUGGAGAAACAAACAUCAGUACUCGUGCUGACCACUCUGUGUGAGGAGUGCUUUGAUUGUACAUGCAAGGUGGGGACUCCACAAGGACAGGGUCUAGCCUUUCCCAUCC
Zalophus californianus (California sea lion) is the source of this 1530-nucleotide long non-coding RNA. RefSeq lists it as uncharacterized. The record is from RefSeq and is a predicted model, not a curated record. The transcript has 4 exons. Lineage: Eukaryota; Metazoa; Chordata; Mammalia; Carnivora; Otariidae.